RNAcentral lists this transfer RNA (49 nucleotides) under Carassius auratus auratus (gold crucian carp). RNAcentral describes it as "partial tRNA-Ser". It matches the Rfam family "tRNA", at positions 23 to 71 of the family's 71-position model. Rfam says of the family: Transfer RNA (tRNA) molecules are approximately 80 nucleotides in length. Their secondary structure includes four short double-helical elements and three loops (D, anti-codon, and T loops). Further hydrogen bonds mediate the characteristic L-shaped molecular structure. tRNAs have two regions of fundamental functional importance: the anti-codon, which is responsible for specific mRNA codon recognition, and the 3' end, to which the tRNAs corresponding amino acid is attached (by aminoacyl-tRNA synthetases). tRNAs cope with the degeneracy of the genetic code in two manners: having more than one tRNA (with a specific anti-codon) for a particular amino acid; and 'wobble' base-pairing, i.e. permitting non-standard base-pairing at the 3rd anti-codon position. The record is from RNAcentral. Lineage: Eukaryota; Metazoa; Chordata; Actinopteri; Cypriniformes; Cyprinidae.
GUGGCUGGCUUGAAACCAGCAUAUGGGGGUUCAAUUCCUCCCUUUCUCG